Molecule: non-coding RNA, 81 nt
Organism: Hypoxylon sp. NC0597
Lineage: Eukaryota; Fungi; Ascomycota; Sordariomycetes; Xylariales; Hypoxylaceae
Source: the annotation of a GenBank genome assembly
GCAUCCAUGGAGUAGUAGUUUAACUCACUCCCCUCCCACCUGGGUAAGGGAGAGACCCGGGUGCAAAUCCCGGUGGAUGCA